Neogale vison (American mink) is the source of this 378-nucleotide long non-coding RNA. RefSeq lists it as uncharacterized. The record is from RefSeq and is a predicted model, not a curated record. Lineage: Eukaryota; Metazoa; Chordata; Mammalia; Carnivora; Mustelidae. The transcript has 3 exons.
CAGAAAUCUACCAGAUGACUCCAUCUUCAAGACUGCCAGGGCUGCUCACUGUGAAUUUGAUCACAGAAGUGUUUUCUGUUUCCAGGACCUCACCUUCAUGCAAACGGAAAUAAAAGCUCUUGGGUAGAGAUGGAUGAUAACCCACCAAGCAUUUGUGUUCUCCUUGCGUGAUCUGGAGCGGCUGCUUGGGGAUUUUCCUGAAACUCGACUCUUGCAGAGCUUCCUAAGAUAACAAGAAGUACAGCCUCAGUUAGAACUCCGCAAUGCAUUCUAGAAGAGAACUCAUCUGGAUUCCCUUCACCAGGUAGCAAAUGUAGCUCUCAGCCAAAAACACUGCUUCUGACUGCCAAGGACCCACACAUUAUCCAGAAUAUUCAG